RNAcentral lists this small nuclear RNA (146 nucleotides) under Myotis lucifugus (little brown bat). RNAcentral describes it as "U2 spliceosomal RNA". It matches the Rfam family "U2 spliceosomal RNA". From Rfam's summary of the family: U2 is a small nuclear RNA (snRNA) component of the spliceosome (involved in pre-mRNA splicing). The record is from Rfam by way of RNAcentral. Lineage: Eukaryota; Metazoa; Chordata; Mammalia; Chiroptera; Vespertilionidae.
AUCGCUUCUCGGCCUUUUGGCUAAGAUCAAGUGUAGUAUCUGUUCUUAUCAGUUUAAUUCAUAGGGUAACUUCUCAUAUCUUUUUAAAAAUAUAUUUUUAUUGAUUUCAGAGAGGAAGGGAGAGGGAGAGAGAAGUAGGAACAUCA